GUCCAGACUCCUACGGGAGGCAGCAGUAGGGAAUCUUUCACAAUGGGCGAAAGCCUGAUGGAGCAACGCCGCGUGCAGGAUGAAGGCCUUCGGGUUGUAAACUGCUUUUAUAAGCGAGAAGUAUGAUGGUAACUUAUGAAUAAGCAUCGGCUAACUCCGUGCCAGCAGCCGCGGUAAUACGGGGGAUGCAAGCGUUAUCCGGAUUUAUUGGGUUUAAAGGGUGCGUAGGCUGUGAGGUAAGUCAGCGGUGAAAUGCCCCCGCUCAACGGGGUGAAGUGCCAUUGAUACUGCCUUGCUGGAAUGCGGAUGCCGUGGGAGGAAUGUGUGGUGUAGCGGUGAAAUGCAUAGAUAUCACACAGAACACCGAUUGCGAAGGCAUCUCACGAAUCCGCGAUUGACGCUGAUGCACGAAAGCGUGGGUAUCAAACAGGAUUAGAUACCCUUGUA
RNAcentral lists this ribosomal RNA (447 nucleotides) under uncultured bacterium. RNAcentral describes it as "bacterial SSU rRNA". It matches the Rfam family "Bacterial small subunit ribosomal RNA", at positions 329 to 792 of the family's 1533-position model. The record is from RNAcentral.